Molecule: small nucleolar RNA, 112 nt
Organism: Cephalotus follicularis
Lineage: Eukaryota; Viridiplantae; Streptophyta; Magnoliopsida; Oxalidales; Cephalotaceae
Rfam family: Plant small nucleolar RNA R71
About the family: R71 is a member of the C/D box family of snoRNAs containing the C (UGAUGA) and D (CUGA) box motifs.
Source: Rfam
AAUCGCAUGAUGAGGACAUUUUCUGAUGAGAUCCUUUAAUCGUUCCCAUGAUUCACGGAACUGCUCACCAUCUUGUUGCGAGAAGCUAGUGAGAGCUUGUCUUAUCUGGUUU